This 330-nucleotide ribosomal RNA is filed under the name uncultured eukaryote. Its description in RNAcentral is "partial 18S ribosomal RNA". It matches the Rfam family "Eukaryotic small subunit ribosomal RNA", at positions 1470 to 1796 of the family's 1831-position model. The record is from RNAcentral.
CCCUUAGAUGUUCUGGGCCGCACGCGCGCUACACUGAUGCAUUCAACGAGUCUAAAACCUGGUCUGAUAGGGCUGGGUAAUCUUUUGAAAGUGCAUCGUGAUUGGGAUAGAUGAUUGCAAUUCUCCAUCUUCAACGAGGAAUGCCUAGUAAACGCAAGUCAUCAGCUUGCAUUGAUUACGUCCCUGCCCUUUGUACACACCGCCCGUCGCUCCUACCGAUUGAAUGAUCCGAUGAAUACCAUGGAUUGAGAGUACGAAUGGGUUCGCUCAUUUCUGCUGCUCGAGAAGUGGAGUAAAUCUUAUCAUUUAGAGGAAGGAGAAGUCGUAACA